GCUUGCUUCGCCCGAUGAAAUUACUGAGUACGAAGCUGCAGUCGCAGAAGAGCGGCGGGUUGAGGACAUGCUGCAAGAUCGUUUUGAUGCCCGUGUUGAUGUUACUUCAUGGUGUGAAUGUGGCCAUUGUUCGUUGGAUCUUGUAGUCAACCCUCAAGAGUGCCGAUGCUGCAUGGAAAUAGAGCAAUGCCGUGGUAAAAUGUAUCAUAACGAAAUCGAUGAAAGGAAAUGCAUUUUGGAUCACUCUGGCAUUAACGAAGUUUGCCUGAACGAAUUUGUUCUUUAAAUAGCAGCUUCGUUAGGUUUAAAGCCAGUCAGGUUUAAAUCUUCUUUGUUCAUGCUGGACACAGACACUUCAAAUUGUAUUUCCUUUAAAACCUUAGUAUAAAUGUAUAUUAAAUAUUGGAAGUUUG
This is a long non-coding RNA of Xenia sp. Carnegie-2017, 413 nucleotides long. RefSeq lists it as uncharacterized. The transcript has 2 exons. The record is from RefSeq and is a predicted model, not a curated record. Lineage: Eukaryota; Metazoa; Cnidaria; Anthozoa; Malacalcyonacea; Xeniidae.